UUGGAAAAUGAGAGACUGUCACUUUUAAGUGAGGUGAAGAAGAGAAACAAUCGUACAGUGAUAAAGUCGAAAAUGGACAAGACUUUUUCAGUGCGAAGACAAGAAAUUGUGGAAAAGGAAUUGGGAGUGGAAGAGUUGAAAGAGAGAUGGCCUGCAUUGUUCUCAGUGGAUGAGAUCAAUGCUGAAUUUACAAGAAUUACAACUGUGCCACUUCAACCGCGCUUCCUCGCUGCCUUGGACAAGCACUACGGCAGACUGAUGGAGAUCAUCAAAAAAAAGGAGGAGUUAUCGGAGAGAAAACCCGGAACAUACUGAAAGUUAUUGAUCACAGCCUUGAGGUGAAUCUAAAAAGAGUGUGUCUGCUUAAGUGCCUGAUUGUAUACCUUGGGGAAGAUGGGGAC
This is a long non-coding RNA of Pseudoliparis swirei, 401 nucleotides long. RefSeq lists it as uncharacterized. The transcript is spliced from 3 exons. The record is from RefSeq and is a predicted model, not a curated record. Lineage: Eukaryota; Metazoa; Chordata; Actinopteri; Perciformes; Liparidae.